This 1751-nucleotide long non-coding RNA is filed under the name Homo sapiens (human). Its description in RNAcentral is "non-protein coding lnc-CCDC17-5:2". The record is from RNAcentral. Lineage: Eukaryota; Metazoa; Chordata; Mammalia; Primates; Hominidae.
CUCCGUCCCCCGCCGGCCUACCACUAUCUAGACACCUCCUGCCCUCUCCAUAUGGCUCCGCGGGAUUGUUUCCCUCCCUAGCCCGACUUCUCCAAUAAACAGCAACUUCCUGCUUCUCCAGCAAGUCGCAUAAGAAGAACUGGAAUCUUGACACUACAACUCCUGACAGGACGCCCCUGCGGCAUCCAGAGACAGGGAAGCCAGUGCUGCUCUGCAUGUUCAGGGCGAGUAGCUGAGAGUCUCCUUCCGGCCUGGAUACUGAGGAAGGUGACUUAGACUUUCUCUCCGUCCUCUGAGUCGUAACGGACGGACACGCAAGGGCCGAGGACGGGUACAAGCAGCAGCGACUAGAACUGAUCUGGGUGAGAUCUAGGCCUCAGCAACAACUGACGCAAAAAGAUUUUGUUCUAGGAUUGGCUACAGCUGAAACUACCGCGCUUGAUUCAAAGCUCGGGGCUUGCAGCGGGAGGCAGCUGGCUCCUCCCUCUGAACCCGCCCCCUUUGGCUGGCCCAAUCCGCUGAUCCCAUCCUCUUAGGCCCUGCCCAGACUCCAAAUCUACCAGAAUUAAUGCUCCCAGCGCUGUUUGUCCACUCCUGCCUAUGAUUUGCUGUGUGACUACUACUCGUGGGGGUACCGUGAUUAGACGCUUUAAAGCUAUUAGCUAUCUUGUUUAAUAUUAACAAUGCUACUAGUGAGAUCAGUGUUAGUCUGUUUCUUAGAAAAAUAAACCAAGGGGCCGGACGCGGUGGCUCACGCCUGUAAUCCCAGCACUUUGGGAGGCCUAGGCUGGUGGAUCACGAGGUCAGGAGUUCAAGACCAGCCUGGCCAAGAUGGUGAGACCCCCCCGUCUCUACUAAAAAAUACAAAAAUUAGCCGGGCGUGGUGGCGGGCGCCUGUAAUCCCAGCUACUCGGGAGGCUGAGGUAGGAGAAUACUAGAACCCGGAAGGCAGAGGUUGCAGUGAGCCGAGAGCUCGCCACUGCACUCCAGCCUGGGCAACAGAGCGAAACUCCGUCUCAAAAAUAAAUAAAUAAAUAGGCCAAGGUUCCAACCUGGCCAACAUGGUGAAACCCCGUCUCUACUAAAAAUACGAAAAUUAGCCAGGUGUGGUGGCAGGCUCCUGUAAUCCCAGCUACUCGGGAGGCUAAGGCAGGAGAAUCACUUGAACCCGGGAGGCAAAGGUUGCAGUGAGCCGAGAUCUCGCCACUGCACUGCAGCCUGGGCAACAGAGCGAGACUCCGUCUCAAAAAAAAAAAAAAGGGGAAGCUGUGACUUGUUCAGAAAGUUGCAAGACAAAUCAGUUAUGGAAAGCAGUGUGCCUCAUUUCCUGCAAAUGGCUGAGUGAAAAAUAACUGGCAGGCUAAAAAGCUGCAAUUCCUCACACCUGGAGUAUCAUCCAUUCCUUUUCACCAUGGCCCAGUCUACGCUGAUCGGAGUAGGGGUUUUUAUUUCCCUUUAGGUUCCAGCAUAUUGGGAAAGAUUCCUGGAGAGGAUUCUUAUUCCAAUCUGUCAAGGCUCGAAGAGGUUGAAAUCUUUGGGGCUAGAGAGCUGGACGUGAAAAUGCCAAUUCCUAUGGCAAACAUACAUGGGCUCUUCCAUUAUUAGCUAGGUGACGUGAGCCAGGUCACGUAACCCGGAUUGUAAUCGAGUAGCUGGGAUUAAGGUUAAGUGUAAAAUGAAGACAUAUUAGUAGCCACCGCUUAAGGACAUUGUGAGAAUUACAGCUUUGGGUCAAAGCCCUAGGAAAGAAG